AGCAAAGUUCACUCUCAGCAAACUUUGGGAGGCCAUGGAGGACUUCUAGAAUGAAUGAAAAGGGUGAAUGGAAAGGUUUGAUUUCCUUGUCUGGAGAUGGAAGAGUGGCCAGUCACCAGGCUAGUCCUAGAGUUCAAUAAGUAUGCAGCACCCUUUACUUUGCUCCUAGUGCUGACAGAGAAGCCCUAACAAUGGUGGUGACUUGUGUAAAAUGGAUGUUUAACCUACAAAUAACCAAUUUGGCUAGAAGCUGCAGUGCUGUACAAGAGGGUGAAGGAGGAUGUGCUCUGAGCAGGCCCAGGUGUGCGUAAGUUUAUUAGUCUAGUGAUGGCCAAAAAGUACUUGACUUAAUAAGGUUCAUUAAUUAGUUACAAAACUGAACAGCC
RNAcentral lists this long non-coding RNA (386 nucleotides) under Androctonus crassicauda. Lineage: Eukaryota; Metazoa; Arthropoda; Arachnida; Scorpiones; Buthidae. The record is from RNAcentral.